GAUGAACGCUGGCGGCGUGCCUAAUACAUGCAAGUCGAGCGAAAAGAUGAGGAGCUUGCUCCUCUGACGUUAGCGGCGGACGGGUGAGUAACACGUGGAUAACCUACCUAUAAGACUGGGAUAACUUCGGGAAACAGGAGCUAAUACCGGAUAAUAUAUUGAACCGCAUGGUUCAAUAGUGAAAGACGGUUUUGCCGACACUUUUAGAUGGAUCCGCGCCGCAUUAGCUACUUGGUAAGGUAACGGCUUACCAAGGAAACGUUGCGUAGCCGACCUGAGAGGCUGAUUGGCCACACUGGAACUGAGACACGGUCCAGACUCCCACGGGAUGCAGCAGUAGGGAAUAUUCCGCAAUGGGCGAAAGCCUGACGGAGCAACGCCGCGUGAGUGAUGAAGGUCUUCGGCUCGUAAAACCCUGUUAUUGGGGAAGAACAAAUGUGUAAGUACCUAUGCACGUCUUGACGGUACCUAAACAGUAAGCCUCGGCUAACUACGUG
RNAcentral lists this ribosomal RNA (497 nucleotides) under uncultured bacterium. RNAcentral's name for it is "partial 16S ribosomal RNA". It matches the Rfam family "Bacterial small subunit ribosomal RNA", at positions 28 to 507 of the family's 1533-position model. The record is from RNAcentral.